RNAcentral lists this ribosomal RNA (314 nucleotides) under Rhaphium micans. RNAcentral's name for it is "partial 12S ribosomal RNA". Lineage: Eukaryota; Metazoa; Arthropoda; Insecta; Diptera; Dolichopodidae. The record is from RNAcentral.
AAAUAUAAAGAUUUGCCUGAGUAGUAGUAGUUAUGUUCUUGAAACUUAAAAAAUUUGGCGGUAUUUUAGUCUAUUCAGAGGAACCUGUAACGUAAUUGAUAAUCCACGUUGUACCUAACUUAAUUUUGUUAAUUUCAGUUUGUAUACCGCCGUUAUUUGAAAAUUUUUUUAGAAUAAUAAUUUUCUGGUUUUUGUAUUAAAUUUGAAAUCAGGUCAAGGUGCAGCUUAUAGUUAAGUGUUUUAUGGGUUACAAUAAAUUUAUUUAUACAGUUUAAGUAAUGAAAUUUAUUUAUUAAGGUGGAUUUGAAAGUAAA